UACGGGGGGGGCAAGCGUUGUUCGGAAUUACUGGGCGUAAAGGGCUCGUAGGCGGCCAACUAAGUCAGACGUGAAAUCCCUCGGCUUAACCGGGGAACGGCGUCUGAUACUGGAUGGCUUGAAUCCGGGAGAGGGAUGCGGAAUUCCAGGUGUAGCGGUGAAAUGCGUAGAUAUCAGGAGGAACACCGGUGGUGUAAACGGCUUUCUGGACCAUAACUGACGCUGAGGCACGAAAGCGUGGGUAGCAAACAGG
RNAcentral lists this ribosomal RNA (253 nucleotides) under uncultured bacterium. Its description in RNAcentral is "partial 16S ribosomal RNA". It matches the Rfam family "Bacterial small subunit ribosomal RNA", at positions 524 to 776 of the family's 1533-position model. The record is from RNAcentral.